UGGGGAAUAUUGGACAAUGGGGGCAACCCUGAUCCAGCGACGCCGCGUGUGUGAAGAAGGCCUGCGGGUUGUAAAGCACUUUUAGUGGGGAUGAAAAGCACAUCACUAACACUGGUGUGUCUUGACCUAACCCAAAGAAAAAGCACCGGCUAACUCUGUGCCAGCAGCCGCGGUAAUACAGAGGGUGCGAGCGUUAAUCGGAAUUACUGGGCGUAAAGCGUGCGUAGACGGUUAUUUAAGUCGGGUGUGAAAGCCCCGGGCUCAACCUGGGAAUUGCAUUCGAGACUGAAUAGCUAGGGUACGGUAGAGGGAAGCGGAAUUUCCGGUGUAGCGGUGAAAUGCGUAGAUAUCGGAAGGAACAUCAGUGGCGAAAGCGGCUUCCUGGACCAGUACCGACGUUCAGGCACGAAAGCGUGGGGAGCAAACAGGAUUAGAUACCCUGGUAGUCCACGCCAUAAACGAUGAGGACUAGACGUUGGAGGGGUAAGCCUUUCAGUGUCGUAGCUAACGCG
RNAcentral lists this ribosomal RNA (512 nucleotides) under uncultured Pseudomonadota bacterium. RNAcentral describes it as "bacterial SSU rRNA". It matches the Rfam family "Bacterial small subunit ribosomal RNA", at positions 355 to 859 of the family's 1533-position model. Lineage: Bacteria; Pseudomonadati; Pseudomonadota. The record is from RNAcentral.